Molecule: unclassified non-coding RNA, 341 nt
Filed under: soil metagenome
Description: partial contains 5.8S ribosomal RNA, internal transcribed spacer 2, and large subunit ribosomal RNA
Rfam family: 5.8S ribosomal RNA (bases 1-120)
Source: RNAcentral
GAUGAAGAACGCAGCGAAAUGCGAUAAGUAAUGUGAAUUGCAGAAUUCAGUGAAUCAUCGAAUCUUUGAACGCACAUUGCGCCCGCCAGCAUUCUGGCGGGCAUGCCUGUUCGAGCGUCAUUUCAACCCUCGAGCCCCCCCGGGGGCCUCGGUGUUGGGGGACGGCACACCAGCCGCCCCCGAAAUGCAGUGGCGACCUCGCCGCAGCCUCCCCUGCGUAGUAGCACACACCUCGCACCGGAGCGCGGAGACGGUCACGCCGUAAAACGCCCAACUUCUUAGAGUUGACCUCGGAUCAGGUAGGAAUACCCGCUGAACUUAAGCAUAUCAUAAGCGGAGGA